GGGCAUGUGGCGGAAUUGGUAGACGCGCUAGCUUCAGGAGCUAGUCUUCGCAAGGAGAUGGAGGUUCGAGUCCUCUCAUGCCCACCA
Molecule: transfer RNA, 87 nt
Filed under: bacterium
Lineage: Bacteria
Description: tRNA-Leu
Rfam family: tRNA
About the family: Transfer RNA (tRNA) molecules are approximately 80 nucleotides in length.
Source: RNAcentral